GACGAACGCUGGCGGCGUGCUUAACACAUGCAAGUCGAACGAAGAGCGAUGGAAGCUUGCUUCUAUCAAUCUUAGUGGCGAACGGGUGAGUAACGCGUAAUCAACCUGCCCUUCAGAGGGGGACAACAGUUGGAAACGACUGCUAAUACCGCAUACGAUCUAAUCUCGGCAUCGAGGAUGGAUGAAAGGUGGCCUCUACAUGUAAGCUAUCACUGAAGGAGGGGAUUGCGUCUGAUUAGCUAGUUGGAGGGGUAACGGCCCACCAAGGCGAUGAUCAGUAGCGGGUCGGGGGGGAGGACCGGCCACAUGGGGACUGAGACCGGGCCCAGACCCCCAGGGGAGGAAGCAGGGGGGAAUCUCCCGCAAGGGAGGAAAGUCUGACGGAGAACCGCCGGGGGAGUGAUGAGGGCCUUCGGGUUGUAAAGCUCGGUUAAUGGGGACGAAAGGCCUUCUGGCAAAUAGGGAGAGGGAUUGACGGUACCGAAAAAGAAAGCCACGGCUAACUACGGG
This 510-nucleotide ribosomal RNA is filed under the name uncultured bacterium. Its description in RNAcentral is "partial 16S ribosomal RNA". It matches the Rfam family "Bacterial small subunit ribosomal RNA", at positions 28 to 507 of the family's 1533-position model. The record is from RNAcentral.